GACGAACGCUGGCGGCGUGCUUAACACAUGCAAGUCGAACGGUGAAGCGCCUUCCUUUUUGGUGGGUGUGGAUGAGUGGCGAACGGGUGAGUAACACGUGAGUAACCUGCCCCCUUCUUCUGGAUAACCGCAUGAAAGUGUGGCUAAUACGGAAUAUCCGGGGCUGUUGCAUGAUGGGUCUGGGGAAGGUUUUGUUUCGGUGGGGGGUGGGCUCGCGGCCUAUCAGCUUGGUGGUGGGGUGAUGGCCUACCAAGGCGGUGACGGGUAGCCGGCCUGAGAGGGUGGACGGCCACACUGGGACUGAGACACGGCCCAGACUCCUACGGGAGGCAGCAGUGGGGAAUAUUGCACAAUGGGCGCAAGCCUGAUGCAGCGACGCCGCGUGAGGGAUGGAGGCCUUCGGGUUGUGAACCUCUUUCGCCAGUGAAGCAGGCCUGCCUCGUUUGUGGGUGGGUUGACGGUAGCUGGAUAAGAAGCGCCGGCUAACUACGUG
RNAcentral lists this ribosomal RNA (493 nucleotides) under uncultured bacterium. RNAcentral describes it as "partial 16S ribosomal RNA". It matches the Rfam family "Bacterial small subunit ribosomal RNA", at positions 28 to 507 of the family's 1533-position model. The record is from RNAcentral.